Faecalibaculum rodentium is the source of this 84-nucleotide non-coding RNA. The record is from Rfam. NCBI's taxonomy places the organism in Bacteria, Bacillati, Bacillota, Erysipelotrichia, Erysipelotrichales, Erysipelotrichaceae.
CGUCUGUAGUAACAACGAAUGGCAGGAAGUCAGCCGAGGCCAUAGUAGCGAAGAAGCUCCUGUAAUGGGAGUGGAGCGAAGGGC